This 253-nucleotide ribosomal RNA is filed under the name uncultured bacterium. RNAcentral describes it as "partial 16S ribosomal RNA". It matches the Rfam family "Bacterial small subunit ribosomal RNA", at positions 524 to 776 of the family's 1533-position model. The record is from RNAcentral.
UACGUAGGGUGCGAGCGUUGUCCGGAAUUAUUGGGCGUAAAGAGCUUGUAGGCGGUUUGUCGCGUCUGCCGUGAAAAUCCGGGGCUCAACCCCGGACUUGCGGUGGGUACGGGCAGACUAGAGUGUGGUAGGGGAGACUGGAAUUCCUGGUGUAGCGGUGAAAUGCGCAGAUAUCAGGAGUAACACCGGUGGCGAAGGCGGUUCUCUGGGCCUUACCUGACACUGAGGAGCGAAAGCGUGGGGAGCGAACAGG